RNAcentral lists this ribosomal RNA (301 nucleotides) under uncultured bacterium. RNAcentral's name for it is "partial 16S ribosomal RNA". It matches the Rfam family "Bacterial small subunit ribosomal RNA", at positions 509 to 807 of the family's 1533-position model. The record is from RNAcentral.
CAGUAGCCGCGGGAAUACGGAGGGGGCUAGCGUUGUUCGGAAUUACUGGGCGUAAAGCGCACGUAGGCGGCUUGGUAAGUUAGAGGUGAAAGCCCAGGGCUCAACCCUGGAAUUGCCUUUAAGACUGCCGAGCUAGUAGGUGAGAGAGGUAAGUGGAAUUCCGAGUGUAGAGGUGAAAUUCGUAGAUAUUCGGAAGAACACCAGUGGCGAAGGCGGCUUACUGGCUCAUUCUAGACGCUGAGGUGCGAAAGCGUGGGGAGCAAACAGGAUUAGAGACCCCCGUAGUCCCUGUCUCUUAUAC